Molecule: ribosomal RNA, 543 nt
Filed under: uncultured Ascomycota
Lineage: Eukaryota; Fungi; Ascomycota
Description: SSU rRNA
Rfam family: Eukaryotic small subunit ribosomal RNA
Source: RNAcentral
UGGAGGGCAAGUCUGGUGCCAGCAGCCGCGGUAAUUCCAGCUCCAAUAGCGUAUAUUAAAGUUGUUGUGGUUAAAAAGCUCGUAGUUGAACCUUGGGCCUGGCUGGCCGGUCCGCCUCACCGCGUGUACUGGUCCGGCCGGGCCUUUCCCUCUGUGGAACCCCAUGCCCUUCACUGGGUGUGGCGGGGAAACAGGACUUUUACUUUGAAAAAAUUAGAGUGCUCCAGGCAGGCCUAUGCUCGAAUACAUUAGCAUGGAAUAAUAGAAUAGGACGUGUGGUUCUAUUUUGUUGGUUUCUAGGACCGCCGUAAUGAUUAAUAGGGACAGUCGGGGGCAUCAGUAUUCAAUUGUCAGAGGUGAAAUUCUUGGAUUUAUUGAAGACUAACUACUGCGAAAGCAUUUGCCAAGGAUGUUUUCAUUAAUCAGGAACGAAAGUUAGGGGAUCGAAGACGAUCAGAUACCGUCGUAGUCUUAACCAUAAACUAUGCCGACUAGGGAUCGGACGAUGUUAUUUUUUGACUCGUUCGGCACCUUACGGGAAAC